UGGGGAAUAUUGGACAAUGGGGGAAACCCUGAUCCAGCAAUGCCGCGUGGAUGAAGAAGGCCUUCGGGUUGUAAAGUCCUUUCACCCGUGAAGAUAAUGACGGUAGCGGGAGAAGAAGCCCCGGCUAACUCUGUGCCAGCAGCCGCGGUAAGACAGAGGGGGCUAGCGUUGUUCGGAAUGACUGGGCGUAAAGGGUGCGUAGGCGGUUGUUUAAGUAGAGUGUUAAAGCCCCGGGCUUAACCCGGGAAUCGCGCUCUAAACUGGACAGCUUGAGUAUGGCAGAGGAGAGUGGAAUUCCUAGUGUAGAGGUGAAAUUCGUAGAUAUUAGGAGGAACACCAGAGGCGAAGGCGACUCUCUGGGCCAUUACUGACGCUGAGGCACGAAAGCGUGGGGAGCAAACAGG
RNAcentral lists this ribosomal RNA (404 nucleotides) under uncultured bacterium. RNAcentral describes it as "bacterial SSU rRNA". It matches the Rfam family "Bacterial small subunit ribosomal RNA", at positions 355 to 776 of the family's 1533-position model. The record is from RNAcentral.